CAAUCAUUCGACUAUCUAUUAUCAUUCCAGCAAGUUCAUCAUCGUGUACAAAGCCACCAUGAAAUUCAUUUCUAUGUAUUUUAUCCUAAUCCUGUUGGGCAUUCUAAUUUGCCCAUCAUUUUCAUGCAAAGACAACUAUGAAUGUAGUGAUGAUGAAAUUUGUUUUGUCGCAGUCCCUGGAAUGCCUGGCGUAUGCGAAGAAGAAUUCUCCCACUAGAGGAUGAUUUAAUAAGCUAAAUCA
This is a non-coding RNA of Tetranychus urticae (two-spotted spider mite), 241 nucleotides long. Lineage: Eukaryota; Metazoa; Arthropoda; Arachnida; Trombidiformes; Tetranychidae. The record is from RefSeq and is a predicted model, not a curated record.